GUCCCUGUAGCGCAAUGGACAGCGUUUUGGAUUUCUAAUCCAAAGGUCGUGGGUUCGAAUCCUACCUGGGGUG
Molecule: transfer RNA, 73 nt
Filed under: Trichonephila inaurata madagascariensis
Lineage: Eukaryota; Metazoa; Arthropoda; Arachnida; Araneae; Nephilidae
Rfam family: tRNA
About the family: Transfer RNA (tRNA) molecules are approximately 80 nucleotides in length. Their secondary structure includes four short double-helical elements and three loops (D, anti-codon, and T loops).
Source: Rfam by way of RNAcentral